This 253-nucleotide ribosomal RNA is filed under the name uncultured bacterium. Its description in RNAcentral is "partial 16S ribosomal RNA". It matches the Rfam family "Bacterial small subunit ribosomal RNA", at positions 524 to 776 of the family's 1533-position model. The record is from RNAcentral.
UACGUAGGUGGCGAGCGUUGUCCGGAUUUACUGGGCGUAAAGGGCGUGCAGGCGGUUUGUUAAGUGCAGAGUGAAAGCUCCCGGCUCAACUGGGAGAGGUCUUUGCAUACUGGCAAACUCGAGGGAGGCAGAGGAAAGUGGAAUUCCCGGUGUAGUGGUGAUAUGCGUAGAUAUCGGGAGGAACACCUGUGGCGAAGGCGGCUUUCUGGGUCUUACCUGACGCUGAGACGCGAAAGCGUGGGGAGCGAACCGG